Long non-coding RNA from Mastomys coucha (southern multimammate mouse), 420 nucleotides. RefSeq lists it as uncharacterized. The record is from RefSeq and is a predicted model, not a curated record. Lineage: Eukaryota; Metazoa; Chordata; Mammalia; Rodentia; Muridae. The transcript has 2 exons.
GUGGAGCUUAGACAAUGGUAACUGGAGUGGGAACAACAAUAGAAUCCAUCCUUGGGCAAGGUGAAUUAGUUUAUUGCCUAAUUCACAAAGCAUUGACAACCCCUAUCAAGAGGUUCCUUUGCCGAGUUCACACCAACAGGAGACCUUGUGGCCGUUUCUUCUCCCUGUGUGGUUAAUGUGUCAGUGAAACUAAAUGUGUGCAUGAGACGAAGCGUAGUUGUCUUUUUUACAGCUGUGAGGCUAAGGUCAGAUCUUCCAUCCUGAAGCCAGUCCGUGUCACCGCUCAGGGCAAAGGAAAUGAGGUGGUGUGGUCACGGUGGUCCAUCCCACCUGCCGCCUGUGACAGAGGGCGUCAACAACCACAGAGCAGCCCCCGGGCCCCGUCUGAUUCCACAGGAAAACAAAGAGCUGCUGCUCUGG